GAAGGACAGAGACUAAAUCACUGACGUACACACUGCCGACUGGACAGAGACAACUGGCUUUUACAAUGAUCAGACCGGAUUAUUUGGUUGUUUUUCUCAUCCUGUCUAUUAACUGGGCAGGUACUGAGGGUCAAACACUGACCGAGUCUGAACCAGUGGUUAAAAGGCCUGGAGAAUCCCACAGACUGACCUGCACAUAUUCAGGGUUCGGUGGUGAUUAUGACAAUGCUUGGAUCAGACAGGCUGUUGUAAGGACUGAAGUGGAUCGCUGAGCCACAGUGACUGGAGUUGGUUAAGCAGCUGUACAAAAUCCUACAGUACUCAUCUUUACCACAAUUAUCUCACAUGAUUAAUGUCAUUACUUCAAUUAAUCCAAGAAAACCUCCUGGCUGCCACUAAUGACCACUGAUGGUUUCAACACCAGCUCACUGUUAGAGAGAAUGAGACGUAUUUAUUUUGCUUUCACUUCUCUCGUCUUUGAAGUAAGAAAAUACAAUAAAAACAAACAUAUCAAUCAAUAAAUCUUACAGUUACAAUAAGAUCUAUGUUUUCACAGUUUUAGAAUUUCUGAAAUAAACUGUUUUAAAUCUUAACAAUACAAAAAAGUCAACAUAAGUGCAGCCAUUAUGUAACUCACUUGAGUAGUUCAAAUUUUAGAAGAACAAAUCUGCUGGAUCCUUCAACAAAAAAUAAGAAUAAUCACAUUUUUCUAAAUUUCCUCAGCAGUUCUUUGUAGUCAUGGAGGUACAGAUGUUCACUGUAGCUCUGAUACUGAUCUUAUGAUCUAAUAUUACAUCAGCUUUUGUGAGGAUUCGUGUGUGCACAUAUAACAACAGUAAACCCUGGUUUACAGCUAAACUCAGGCAGCUUCGUCAGGCCAAGGAGGAGGCCUACAGCAGUGGCGACAGAAUCCUGUACAACCGGGCCAGAAGCUCACCGACACAAGAGAUCAGAGUAGCAAACAGAAGCAACACUGAAAAGCUGAAAAACAGGUUUUCAUUCAGCAACCCUGCUUCACUGUGGAAAAAUCUGCAGGACUUCACCAGCUACAGGAAACCAUCCCCCCACACUGUGGAGAACCAUCAACUGGCCAACGACCUGAAUGUGUUUUACUGCAGGUUUGAUAAAGUCAUCAUUCAUACACCUCACCCGCUCCGACUCAGACAUCACACAACCAGCUGCACCCCCUGCCACCCCCUCACGCCUCCCCACUGACCCCCACUUGCACUUAGGAUCUGUGAUGAGGAUGGGUGUCAUCUCUUUCAGAGAAAGAAGAUCAGGAAGUUCCUCAGGACCUGUUCCAGCUUCUCCCCUCUGGUGUGAAGUGUGAACAGCUGACACAGCCAGCCUCUGUGACUGUGCAGCCAGGUCAACGUCUGACCAUCACCUGUCAGGUCUCUUAUUCUGUGAGUGACUACUACACAGCUUGGAUCAGACAGCCUGCAGGGAAAGGACUGGAGUGGAUUGGAAGUGCAGCUGAUGGAGAUUCAUACUACAAAGAUUCACUAAAGAACAAGUUCAGCAUCGACUUAGACUCUUCCAGCAGCACAGUGACUCUAAACGGACAGAAUGUGCAGCCUGAAGACACUGCUGUGUAUUACUGUGCCAGAGAGCCACAAUAACACAAACCAUCAGUAGACCUGAACAAAAACCCCUCAGUGCCUGAACACUUGUAACAUGAAGCCACCAGAGGAGGAGCCCUCAGACCACUGAUGGUUUCAACACCAGCUCACUGUUAAAGAGAGAAAGAGAUGUAUUUUGCAAUGAAAAAGUAAAAGUGAUAUAACAUGGCUCAUUAUAAUAUACAAUAAUAAUAUUAAAUAUACAGUGGAGGCAUUUUCCAAAAAGUGUCUUCUCUGUCAGACUCACAAUAUUCAUGUGAAUUAAUGUCAGCAUUAUUUCAGCUCAUAACUGCGUUUUAAAAAGCUCUUCAUCUAACAAGAAAUUAAACAAAUAAUUCCAUCUUAAUGCCACUUUUUGUAACUUUUUUUAUUUUUUAAAAUAAAAAUAGACACAUUAAAUUGAUGAUAAAAGCAGAAAGAACUUCACUCUAUCAGUGCUCUUCAGCUUCUUUUCAUUUUAAGUUUGACCUAUUUGAAUAAAAUUUAAAAACUAAAUAACUAUUUAUAAUAUUGGAAUGAGACUUAUUGUGUUUUUCCUCAUGCCUUACACUAUGGUAACGGAGUUUAUGUUUCUAUGACUGGACAAUUUCUUUGUACUGAAACAUGGGUAUUCAUGGAAUCCAUGUACUGAUGGGUUACAUAUUUUUCUGGAAUUUGUUUUUGAAGCUUAAAUAAUAUUCUCUUUCCUACUGGGGUCUUCUUUCUCCUGACACACUUAUUGGUAUUGUGUGUAUUGUAAAAUGUAUAAACUAUUGUCAAAGUCUUCACAAAAUGCAGACUGUGCUUAUUAACCAACUUGAAUAAUGUGUUUGUCAACCUGUUGCACAAAUUAUACUGAAACAUGUAAAAGGGACUCUUGGAGGAAUGACUCAUGUACAGUAAACAUU
Molecule: long non-coding RNA, 2509 nt
Organism: Siniperca chuatsi (mandarin fish)
Lineage: Eukaryota; Metazoa; Chordata; Actinopteri; Centrarchiformes; Sinipercidae
Exons: 3
Source: RefSeq, a predicted model, not a curated record